This 76-nucleotide transfer RNA is filed under the name Flavobacterium sp. Its description in RNAcentral is "tRNA-His". It matches the Rfam family "tRNA". Rfam says of the family: Transfer RNA (tRNA) molecules are approximately 80 nucleotides in length. The record is from RNAcentral. Lineage: Bacteria; Pseudomonadati; Bacteroidota; Flavobacteriia; Flavobacteriales; Flavobacteriaceae. RNAcentral also lists the same sequence under 30 other names.
GGUGGUUGUAGCUCAGUUGGUUAGAGUAUCGGUUUGUGGUACCGAGUGUCGCGGGUUCGAGUCCCGUCUUCCACCC